Long non-coding RNA from Parus major (Great Tit), 3144 nucleotides. RefSeq lists it as uncharacterized. NCBI's taxonomy places the organism in Eukaryota, Metazoa, Chordata, Aves, Passeriformes, Paridae. The transcript has 3 exons. The record is from RefSeq and is a predicted model, not a curated record.
AAGAACUUUCUGAUAAGGAAUCAUGUUUCAAAUCUUUCUUCCCAGCCAGAAGUCAGGAUACAAAUUCCAAUUGCAUUUAGGCACUGCUUCAGGACAUGAAUUUAAGUACCUAAGACACUGGGGAUACCCAUGGACUUUGAACAUCAGUGUGGGGUUUGAAUCUGUGCUGGAAACCUUUUUGAUAACAGAACCCAUCUUCCCUCCUACAUCUUCUUAAAUGGAAAACAUUGAGUUCUUGCUGGAGUGCGUGCAGUGUUUGCUCCUGUGGAUUGCCAGGGUGAAAGAGAAGGAAGCCUGCAACAAUUCUGUUUCUCCAUUGCAUCCAAAAGACCCAUCAGGGUCUCUAAGACCCAAAGUUGCCAUUUUACAGGAGCAGAUGUAAAAACUACACCAGCUUACCUGGAAUCCACACAACUGGAUGCAUCUGCCUUCACCUUUCCUUACUCAUUCCUCUUGCUUGUCUCUUACUGUAGAUAUUUUUGUUUCUUUCUUCACUGGCUCUCAAAAUAGUCAAGAGCGUAUUCCAGUCUCAAAUACUUAUUUUCAAAAUAACCUUGAGGAGGAAAAAAAAAAGAAACACUGACGUUUUGUGGACGGAGACUUUUAAAACUUUUCACAAUAGUUUUGCAUAGAGUGGAUUCAGUAAGCUCACUCUCAUGUGAUUGACUCAUUAUUUCUCAUCAGUUCCAUCAGUGAAAAUGAUUUCCAAUAUUUCUCAGAAAAAAAAAGCACAGUGUCAGUAGGGCACAGUCAGACACAAUGGCUGUGAGCAGCUCAAUAGACUGAAUUACUCUUGCACAAUUCUCUUUGCCCUGCAAAGAGACAUUUUGCAGCAUCAAUUAGGUUCGGCAAGCAUUCCGUUUAAAGUCAAGAGCUGGAAGAAUAAUGAAUUUCUUUGAAGUCUGAUGACAGCCUAGGCAACAGCCCAAGUAGAAAGAGAAACAAACUGGAAAACUCAUUUACAUAAGAAAUUGUACCAGCUGACCUUUUAUUAGAUCUGAUCUUGUGGAAGGUAUCACUAUAUGAAUUCAUCAUUCUCACAAGCAAUUCCUCAUUUAAUAAGGGCUAUUUGCUGCAAAUUAUGGCACUGGGCUCAGUAACUCCCUAGUAAGGGUCAGUGAAAACAGAAAUUAUGAAUGCAAUGGACAACUGCAGAGUACUCAGGUCCAGUGGAUUUCACACCUCAUCUAUAUUAGUGUUAAUUUGCAAAAGGAAAUAUCUGCUUGCUACCAGGAAAUAUCUGAGCACCAUUUGCUAAAAUCUCUCUGUGGACCUUCAGUAGGUUUUGGUUUUUCAUUUUGCACAAAGCCACCCAAAACAUUGAAUUGAAGAUGUAUAGAUGUGUAGUCACAUAUUUCUGGUUUUUACAGGUGCCACAGGACUCUCAAACAACAACUUUUAUUAGGGACACUGAUGUACAGCUUUCCAAGAACAUUUAAGUAGGGAAGAUGCCAGAGAUGGUAAGAAAUAUGUACAUACAAGGUUUGCACUGACACUCCUCAGCAUUUGGAAGGAACAGCACAAAGAUACAGGAAGAAACAAAGGUGGGUAAACUGAGCAGCAAAUUUAGGGGAAAUCUGAAGAAGCAAGGCACGGGAGUGACAAGGAAUAAUUAGACUCAAUACAAAAUAGGUGUGUUGAAGUUACUGGGGAACAAAAGCACCUGGUAACAGUGAAACAGAAACACUUUAUUUCCAAGAUUGUCAAAACAUACCUUUUUACAGCAAUCUCCUUGUGGGUCUUUAGCAUGUUAAGUUGCAAUGUGAGCAGAUAUUUCUUCUGCGAUUCCACUGCAGCUUUCGGUGGCCUUAAAACGAAAUUAUUGUUUCUUCACUAUACCAUCAUUCUGUGACUAUGCCAACAACUUCAACUGAAAACACUUUUCCAAAUCAGCUGCCAAAUCCAAAAUGCCAUUGUCAAUAAAGGAUGAAACCAAUGAUAUGCAGAAAGACUCCACAACUCAGUAAAGCUGUAAGGUAGAUACGUAUUUAUCCAGCGCCAGGCACAUCCAGGAUCAUUCCCAAAGGCACAUGCACUGAAAGCAAUGGCUGUUCCCCUUUUAUUCUCCACAAUCUAGGAUUACACCAGAUGCCUGAUACAUUUUCAUUCCCUAGCCUCACCUAGCCUCACUUUUGUAUGGUAAUUAGCUCCAGGUGCUGUCUGUGCUUGUGCCUGCCCAGUUUAGGGGUCAUUGGGUUCUUUGAUGAAGGCUUCCAAGCUCUUCUUCACAUCUGAACUCUUUACCUUUCCUCUUCACACGUGUUCCUUGCCCCCUUGGUCAGAGUCCAAGCUGCAAGACUAGUCCUGGCCAGUUUUGGGGUCUAAGCAACCCUUCCUAUCUCAGUCUCUGCAUUCCUGUCACCCUUCAUCCUGUCUUGAGGUCACAGCUCCUUCCUCAUCAAAGAGUGCUGCGUUCUUUCAUGCUGUUUUUCCAGCACAGCAGAUGUCCAGCUGCUUUGGAAAGCACAGCAGAGGUUACAGAGACAAUAUUCAUUUUCUACCAAGCAGAAUACAUUUUAAAGAUAAUAUACAUUUCCAAGUCCGCUAUCCCUAAUCAAUUAAUCGCUAAACUUCUAACUCCUUUGCCUCACCAUCUAGCACUGACUAGUUUCUCCAAGAAAAAGGGCUUCCUAAUAAAUGUGCCAACUCUUGAGAAAAAUAAAUUCCCAUUUUUUCAAAAAAAAUUUGCAUGUUGUAAACUUCUAUUUUUCCCAAUUGGUUUAUUUUACCUUGACAAAAAAUCCCAGUCAUUAAUGAGUAUUUCUGAAACAAAAACAAAGAAUAAACCUUUGAGCAUGUUUAUAAUACAGCACAUACAGACAGGUAAAUAGGAAUAACAUUUGCUCUUGUUUUUAGUUUUCAGAUUACAGAGCAUUUGGUAGUAGAAAACAUUAUUAGUGCUGAGGACUUUCUUGCUUUUCAGCUUGAGGGAUCUGUUCAUCCUGCUUCUUUCUGGGAGACUGUGUGUAACCUUUUUUCCCUUGGGCUUUCUUUGAAGGGAGAGUGAAGAAAGUUUUGGUACACCAGGAAUACACUUUUCUAUCAUGCCUCCAACAUGGAAUAAUCAUAAGUGAGAUGAAUCCUCGUUUCAUGGGGGUGCAGUAUUUAUUUGCUAUUGUCCUGAGUUGCAGUGCAAGAUGUAAC